CCCUACGGGGGGCAGCAGUCGGGAAUAUUGCGCAAUGGAGGAAACUCUGACGCAGUGACGCCGCGUAUAGGAAGAAGGUUUUCGGAUUGUAAACUAUUGUCGUGAGGGAAGAAGAUGACAGUACCUCAGGAGGAAGCUCCGGCUAACUAUGCGCCAGCAGCCGCGGUAAUACGUAGGGGGCAAGCGUUAUCCGGAUUUACUGGGUGUAAAGGGAGCGUAGACGGCAGCGCAAGUCUGGAGUGAAAUGCCGGGGCCCAACCCCGGAACUGCUUUGGAAACUGUGCAGCUCGAGGGCAGGAGAGGUA
RNAcentral lists this ribosomal RNA (305 nucleotides) under uncultured bacterium. RNAcentral's name for it is "bacterial SSU rRNA". It matches the Rfam family "Bacterial small subunit ribosomal RNA", at positions 337 to 659 of the family's 1533-position model. The record is from RNAcentral.